GCGGCGGUCCCGCCCAGGAAUAGGCUGGGCCCCGCUGGCGCCUCCCCGGCUCCGUUCUUACUUGUAGCUCGGGAUUAGCCCACUCGGUCCCAGAAUGUCUUGGAUUGGACGAUACUUUAAAGAUCAUCCAGUUCGAAACCCCUGCGGAGGGCGGAGUCACCUUUCACGAGAGCGUGUUGUUCGGGGCCCUGUCCAACCUGACCUUGAGCAUUCCCAGGGAUGGGACAUCCACAGCUUCUCUGGGCAAUCUGUGCCAGUGCCUCACCACCCUCACAGCAAAGAGUUUCUUCCUGUUUCUUAUCUCAGCCUGCCCUCUCUCACUGCCCCUUGUCCUGUCACUACAUGCCCGUAUAAAAAGUCCAUCUUCCUCCUUUUCAUAAUCCCCCUCCAGGUACAGGAAGGCUGCAGUGAGGUCCCUCCAGAGCCUUUUCUUCUCCAGGCUGAACAAUCCCAGCUCUGUCAGCCUGUCAAGAAGCUUAUGUAAAGCACCUGCUCUAGACUGUCCAGAGAUGAUGCACUGGAGUCCUUGAGUUUGGCUGAAACUGAAAGUAGCAAAAAGACCAGCUUGGAAACAGGAGAUGGAGUUUCUUUCAAAGAAAAUGCAUAUCAUACUCUGGAAAAAAAUGCUGGAAAAAUGAAACAGAAGCGGGAAUGGCUGUCAUCAUCUACCUCAGCCUUGUCAUGGUGCUGCCACUGCCACAGUCUCCUGAGGUCAGCUUGCUCAAGCUAUUUGGCAUCUGCAGAUACACCGAUGCUCCCAAAACAGCUGGUGCUCGACAAUCGUGCUCUGGUCACAUCCUUGGUCCCAUCUGGGUCUUCCAGGUGCGUAAGGCCCUGGUGGUGAGUUAUUCCCUAGGCAGUAAGCGCACAUGCACACCAUACAGCUGGAUUUUGGAAAGCCCUCAAUGAACCAGCCACAUCCACCGCAAGCAGCCUGUGCACGACACACGACAUGACCGGAUUAACUGCAUGUGAGUGCAGCUGCGGGCAGCACACAACAGGGGUCACUGCACACAUGCCCAUGGUGACAGCACGCCUGUUCGGGAAUGCCCCUGCAACCAGCAGGUCACCAGAUGUGACUCAGGAUGACUGGGCACCCAUGCACCGUCCUGGUGCAGCACCUGCC
Molecule: long non-coding RNA, 1126 nt
Organism: Cyanistes caeruleus (blue tit)
Lineage: Eukaryota; Metazoa; Chordata; Aves; Passeriformes; Paridae
Source: RefSeq, a predicted model, not a curated record